Molecule: RNA transcript, 5463 nt
Organism: Notolabrus celidotus (New Zealand spotty)
Lineage: Eukaryota; Metazoa; Chordata; Actinopteri; Labriformes; Labridae
Gene: fam131bb
Gene name: family with sequence similarity 131 member Bb
Exons: 13
Source: RefSeq, a predicted model, not a curated record
UAAAGCUAGGGGUUUCACGCGCUAGUUAGCUCGAGGGCUUAAAAUGAAAUGAGUUUAUCUUCGUAGAAUUCAAACUGACGUUAAAUGACGUUUGAUAACGGAGGCUUCAUUGAGUGAAAUUCCUAAGCUGAAUCUGGUUAGCUUGUUAGCUUUAGCAAACGUAAGCUUAGAAAUCAGAGCCCAUGACAGAUGUAUGGCGCGUGCUGCUCACCUGAAAGCUCGCCUCGUGUGAUAGACGUUAAUUAACGGAACGUCUCGCGCUUAUCAUCAAUCCCACCACCAGCUGCAGCAAUGUUAGCUCCACGCGCACACACCCCUAGUAACGUACCACUCAAAAAACGUUACACACUCAGAAAACGUACACACAUCCGCCCCGUAUGCUCUUACCUCACCAGGCGACGAUGACGACCUCUCUUAACUCUGCUGUCACCAAGUUUAAUGUUGUUCCUUCACUCUGGAGGAGAACGUUACGAGCUAGCUAGCUUGAUCAACUUCCUAGCUGUGCUUCCUGUAAAGAGCUUCCGCAUACUAGCUUCUUAUUCCUUAUCGUUGGUACACAUCAGCUGGUGUAGCAAACUACAGUAUUCAGGGUGAUUCCUCAUUCUAAAACAACGACCACUCAACUAGGGGAACAACCACUGGACACCACCACCACCUAACCGAGAGACAGCUGUAAAGAAUGGACAGUGCUGUGAGGCCUGGAGACUGGAAAGUUUGCAUCAGGCAUGGCGAAGUCAGCUUUGGGGUCCAGUCAGUCUGGAGGUAAAAGAAAGCAAAAAAAAACAGGAGGCUGUCAGAAUCAGAGCCAGACAGCCUGGAACGCAGCCAAACCUUGGAAUGAACAGUUCCUCUCCCCCCUCCCUCUUUAAGAGACGAGCGGAUGGAUGGAUGGAUGGAUGGAAAAAAAGGCAGAUCUGGUGAUGUGAUUCACAGAGGAGGAAACAAGAUAUAGGUGCAGAGAUGACUGAGGGGCGGAUCAAUACAGGACGACAGAGAAAAGAGGCAUACUGACUUACUAACCGGAUCUCUUCUAAGACACUGCACUGGAGAGAGGGAGGGAGAGAGCGAGAGACAGAGAGAGGGAGGAGAGAGAGUCUGUGUGUGAUCGAGUAAGUGCAGGAGGGAGAGAGAAAAGGAGAGAACGCAGGAGAGCAAGGAAAAGAAGCUAGAGCUGAGAGGAAGAGAGUCGCAGGAGGAAAAAGGGAGAAUGCACGGCGUCUGGGUAACACUUCCACGUUUGUAUCCAGGGCCUUUGUGAAUACACCAUGGGAUGCAUCGGCUCCAGGAGACUGACGGCGGAUGGCGUGCCAGUCCAGAAGGAUGGGGAGCAGCAUGGACGUUCAGAAUUUUCAUGGGAAGGAAUCAAUCUGUCUAUGGAAGACACCACAUCAAUCCUGCCACGGCUCAAGAGGAACUCAAACGCUUAUGGCAUCGGGGCGUUGGCUAAGUCUUCUCUGUCAGGUGUGUCAGGUGUGACUCGCACCAUGAAGGAGCGGGUCACCAAGCCAACAGCCAUGGCCCAGGGUCGCGUCGCUCACAUGAUUGAAUGGCAGAACUGGGGCAUGUCGACAGUGGGUCCAGGGGGCAUCCCCCAGUCCCGCAUCACCACCCAAGAGCGAGAAAAGGAGCGGCGGCUGGAGAAUGACGCCUACAGUGACCUCAGUGACGGGGAGAAGGAGGCCCGUUUCACUGCAGGUAUUCUGCAACAGUUUGCAAUCUCAGAGGCAACACUCCUAGCCUGGUCAUCGAUGGAUGGAGAGAGUCCGCGGUCGGGCUCAAACCAGGGCAGCGUGGCUCAUCUGAGCGAAGUCAACCAGGAGAGUAUCACUAGUAGAGAUCAGAUAUUGCAUCACUCCUCAGCAGAGGUGUGGCCUCACACGUACGUCUCCCAGGGCCACUACUGCCUGUCCUCCUCUGAUGCAUGGGAGCCGAUCACCAAUGACCCCUCCGUUGUGGCGUCUCCCGCUGCUGGCUCCUACGUUAUGGGGACUGAGGGGUUUGAUGGGCAGGCGGCGGCUCACUUUCUGUCGCAGCAGCAACAGCAGCAACAGUUCACCCUCCAGCAGCAGAGCCAACUCCAGCAGCUGCAGCAGAUCCAACAGAUCCAGCACUACCAGCAACAGCAGCUCUUGCAGUAUCAGCAACAACAGUCGCUGGAGCACCGGCUGCACAGUGCCAACCACUCUUUGCAAGCGACGCCCAACAGCACCAUCCACAGUCUGGUCCAUCCCGCUCACCCUCCAUUGGUGGAUCUGUGGAACACAGGGCAGAUGGAGGCCUAUCAAACGGAGGCCGGAGGCUUCAUGGGUGUGUCAGCGGUGGUGGAGCCGAGCCUCUGUGUUCCCUCUGGAGACGAGACGGUGGGAACAGAACACUCCCCGCUGCUGGAGCAACACGAGGAGGAGGAGGGGGUCAAGACAUUAUGAUUACUUCCAUUACCUGAGGUGGAUUUUUACACUUUUAAAAGGCUGAACAGGAGGAGGAGGUCACACUGUGCAUGGAGCCCGAGUCGACCAUGUUGACUCCGCCCACGCAACAAGGAGACGCCUCCGGUGGAAGUAGUCCAGGGCAACCGCCAGCAGAGCCAAUUACAGAGCGGAAGGCCUCCGAUGUCAGCUCUGGCCUUGUUCAAACAUUAGAGGGGAAGGACGAGGAGGGACCCGCCGCUUCCAUGGCAACCAACUGAGCUACUGGAUGUCGAGGGACCUUUUACGAACUGACCAGGGAGUCAGCGAGGAAGGAGCGUAAUAAUACAAUAUAUAUCUAUUUAUCUGUUCCCUUUUCAGGUAUCAAAAACACAACUUUUCAGUUGGAAAUGAAUUCUUCAAACUGGUGAAAGACUGAUUUAAAGGUGGACUCACAAAGAGACAAGAGCUGAUGCAACAAAGGACACCUAUUUCUUUGUAAGCCUUACAUCCAAAAGGUAACUGAGGAGAGGAUUAAGGAAGGAGGGACUGAAGAGGAAGAGGUAGAGGAGCACCCACUGAUGGAGACAUUUCCAUUAGUGAAGUGAAACCACAGUUAGAGGCAGAAGAGGGGAACGGAAACAUGCAUGCUUUUAAUAAGGACAAGCAACUCGACCCUGUCAUCGUCUUAUAAUAAUGAUAAUAAAAAUCUACCAUAAGAAAACAUUAUAAUAAGAAUAAUUUUGUAAGAAAGAAAAAAAAAGAUUAAGACAAAAAUCUAUGUAUAAGUGUACAAUAAGAUAAAAAGUUUUCCCUCUGGAGAACUUCUCUGUUUACAGCUGUUACUCAACAUAUUAGUGUUUAAUCAAAUUUAUUUCCCUGUUGCAUCAAACUCACACAGUAUACUUCAAAAUUACUAACCCAAAAAAUUCCACACGUGAUCAAAAUAGGCUCAGAAAAUGUCAGCAUUUCAGUGAAAUGCAGAUUAACCCUCCAAAAUAAAUUGAUGUUGUGGCACGUGAAUGCCCGAGGCACAACCCAGGGACAGGCCUGUCCUGCUGACUGCACACACUGAACCCUGCACAGAUAAGGAUUGUACUGUAAGAUAGUGUGCUUCCUACUCUGUCUCUCUGUAUGCAUGUUUCUUCAGAGUACUAUGGAGUACCUGUACUAUACAGCACUGUAUAGACUUUGCACUGAACCAUAGUAUCCCAGGUGGGGCCACAGCAAGUCUGCGGCGAGAAAUAAAGACGGAGCUGCAUAAAGCGAAUCUCCUUUGCACUGAUGCAAUCCUACAGAUCAGAGGUUGCCUUCGGACGGUCAAUGUUACCCAGUUCCCACUCUGAAAGCUUUCAGCACCACUGACAACCAAAACCGAGCCACUUAACAACACAAAACCCUCAGCUGCUUGUUUAUUUCCACAGACGUCUUCGUGAUAAAUUGAGGAUGAUAACCACUAUUUGAAUGUACUGGAAGACAGAUGGCAGAACAUGAGCGUUUGUUUUUGAUGUCUCUUCACACUCCACAUGGGACAGAAUCAAACAAGAUAAGUCUUUCAAACUUGUGGGAGUGUGGGGGGGUCGGCUGCAAAUGGAUUCACUGCUUGCUCGCCUAGACCACCACCCCAUGUACACACACACAGACAGACACACACACACAUACAUACACACACAUACACACAUAACAUACACAAAUAUCUAAAUUGUAACCAGCAAUAGACAGGCAGAACACUGGCUUCCCAACAGCCCAGUGUCAGCUCUGUCACAUAGAUGUAAAUAGUCUGAGUAUAUAAAAAUCGCCUCUUACUUACAGUCACAACUGUUCUAGUGCAGUAUGAUUUCUUUAUUUUUGUACACCUCUCAAUCCCACUUUAUUUUGGGAUUGCUCUCAAGCUUUUUGGCCUAUUUUUCUCUCUCUCAUGUGAGCCACCACUUGAAGAUAAAUGAAACGGAGGAAUGUUUGUGUUGUAAAUAGAGCGAUCAUUAACCAAGCGAGUCCAUCAGUGGGGACACAAAGAACUAACAGUUGUAGGUUUGAGUCCACGGGGGGGAAAUUACAGCCUGCGUGCCGCUCAAUCAGCCAAUCAGGGAACAGAACAGAAGACUUGGACUGAACACUGGAGCCGAACAGAUCGGUGUCUUCCUGCUCGUUGUGAUUACUGUGAAGCAGCUGCCUAGAGUGUGAUAGUGAUUCUAAUGAUGUUUGAGGAAGCAUGUUUUCAUUUCUUUUUUUUCUUUUCGUUUUGCCUGAGGAGGAAUGGGUAUUUUCCAGUGAGGAGAGAAGGGAGCAGGAAAGAAACAGUUGAAAAUCGUGGACUGGACUGUGCAUGACUCACUGGCGAACGUUACUACAACACAAAAACCACUGUCUCCAUCCUUUCUCUGUCGGGGAGCACCUUCUCCUCUCACUUUGAUGAUUGUGUGAGAAACUUUCAAGAUAAAAAAAACAACACAACUAAAUGGUUUAUUGACUUGAAUGACUUUUAUUUAACGAUUGCUUCUUUAUGCAAUGUUGGGGACAAUGUUUAUUUUUCUACUGACUUGUUGAAAUCCCCUCCAGUAUGAGUUGGAAUAGGUGCCAAGGUCGUAAAGCAAUCUUGUUUCUGUCCAGUUUUGAGCACUUUACAGUAUGAGAACACCAUGCUGAAAACUACAAGAGAUUACAGAUGAAAGUUUGGCAGCUCUUACCUAUAUGAUUUUAUUUCACUUUAGAAAUCCCUGUUUCAUGACUGACAAAGAUGAGAGGGCUCAAAACUGCAAACAGAUUGUCUUUACAAGAUGGCACAUAUUCAUUUAUUUAUUGAACAAUUACUUGUUGGGGAGGAAUAAUGUGACAGCUUGUACAGAGACUAUAAUUUUAUGUAGGUAUAAACCCUUCUGGGAGCAGUAUCUUUUUCUUCAUACGUCACAUUAUAUGUUUGAAGUCUGUAUCUUUAUGUUUGAAAGGCUUAAAACAAGAAACUGGACUUGAUGAAAAGACACUGCUUCAACUUGGGUUCCUUUUCUUUUCUUUACCAGAAGUUCAAUGAAUGAAUAAACUAAUAACGAGAAGCCAAAUA